RNAcentral lists this non-coding RNA (115 nucleotides) under Arthrobacter sp. RNAcentral describes it as "SAM-IV sequence". It matches the Rfam family "SAM (S-adenosyl methionine) riboswitch aptamer". Rfam says of the family: SAM-IV is a mRNA element that regulates gene expression via direct sensing of S-adenosylmethionine (SAM or AdoMet). RNAcentral also lists the same sequence under 1 other name. The record is from RNAcentral. Lineage: Bacteria; Bacillati; Actinomycetota; Actinomycetes; Micrococcales; Micrococcaceae.
GGUCAUGAGCGCCAGCAUUGAGCCCCGGCUUGCUGGCCGGCAACCCUCGUUCCGCGGUGGGGUGCCCCGGGUGAGGACCUGGCCUCCGGCAACCGCCGGUCGGCAAGCGCGGCAC